CGGGACUGGGUGUGUUAGCUACGGGACUGGGUGUGUUAGCUACGGGACUGGGUGUGUUAGCUACGGGACUGGGUGUGUUAGCUACGGGACUGGGUGUGUUAGAUACGGGACUGGGUGUGUUAGCUAUAGGGUGUGUUAGCUAUAGGACUGGGUGUGUUAGCUAUAGGGCUGGGUGUGUUAGAUAUAGGGCUGGGUGUGUUAGCUAUAGGACUGGGUGUGUUAGUUAUAAGACUGGGUGUGUUAGCUACAGGACUGGGUGUGUUAGCUACGGGACUGGGUGUGUUAGCUACGGGACUGGGUGUGUUAGCUACAGGACUGGGUGUGUUAGCUAUAGGACUGGGUGUGUUAGCUAUGGGACUGGGUGUGUUAGCUAUGGGACUGGGUGUGUUAGCUAUGGGACUGGGUGUGUUAGCUAUGGG
This 419-nucleotide long non-coding RNA is filed under the name Salmo salar (Atlantic salmon). Its description in RNAcentral is "lncRNA (ENSSSAG00000085613.1, ENSSSAG00000102023.1)". Lineage: Eukaryota; Metazoa; Chordata; Actinopteri; Salmoniformes; Salmonidae. The record is from RNAcentral.